UGACAACAGAGUUUGAUCCUGGCUCAGAACGAACGCUGGCGGCAGGCUUAAUACAUGCAAGUCGAACGGCUGUAGCAAUACAGCAGUGGCAGACGGGUGAGUAACACGUGGGAACCUACCUAGGGGUACGGAAUAACUCAGGGAAACUUGUGCUAAUACCGUAUACGACCUCAGGGUGAAAGAUUUAUCGCCCCUAGAUGGGCCCGCGCUGGAUUAGCUAGUUGGUGGGGUAAAAGCCUACCAAGGCGACGAUCCAUAGCUGGUCUGAGAGGAUGAUCAGCCACACUGGGACUGUGACACGGCCCAGACUCCUACGGGAGGCAGCAGUAGGGAAUCUUGGACAAUGGGGGAAACCCUGAUCCAGCCAUCCCGCGUGUGCGAUGAAGGCCUUCGGGUUGUAAAGCACUUUUGGCAGGAAAGAAACGUCAUGGGUUAAUACCCCGUGAAACUGACGGUACCUGCAGAAUAAGCACCGGCUAACUUCGUGCCAGCAGCCGCGGUAAUACGAAGGGUGCAAGCGUUAAUCGGAAUUACUGGGCGUAAAGCGCGCGUAGGUGGUUUGGUAAGAUGGAUGUGAAAUCCCCGNGGCUCACCUGGGAACUGCAUCCAUAACUGCCUGACUAAAGUACGGUAGAGGGUGGUGGAAUUUCCUGUGUAGCGGUGAAAUGCGUAGAUAUAGGAAGGAACACCAGUGGCGA
This 698-nucleotide ribosomal RNA is filed under the name uncultured bacterium. RNAcentral's name for it is "bacterial SSU rRNA". It matches the Rfam family "Bacterial small subunit ribosomal RNA", at positions 1 to 718 of the family's 1533-position model. The record is from RNAcentral.